UACGGGGGGGGCAAGCGUUGUUCGGAAUUACUGGGCGUAAAGGGUUCGUAGGUGGCUGUUAAGUCAGACGUGAAAUCCCUCGGCUCAACCGGGAACUGCGUCUGAGACUGAUGAGCUCGAGUGCAGGAGAGGAACGCGGAAUUCCAGGUGUAGCGGUGAAAUGCGUAGAUAUCGGGAGGAACACCUGUGGCGAAAGCGGCCUCACUGGACCACAACUGACGCUGAGGCGGCGAAA
RNAcentral lists this ribosomal RNA (235 nucleotides) under uncultured bacterium. Its description in RNAcentral is "partial 16S ribosomal RNA". It matches the Rfam family "Bacterial small subunit ribosomal RNA", at positions 524 to 758 of the family's 1533-position model. The record is from RNAcentral.